CUUGCAGGGUACUCGAGUGGCGAACGGGUGAGUAACACGUGGGUGAUCUGCCCUGCACUUCGGGAUAAGCUUGGGAAACUGGGUCUAAUACCGGAUAGGAACCAUCUUUAGUGUGGUGGUUGGAAAGUUUUUUCGGUGUAGGAUGAGCUCGCGGCCUAUCAGCUUGUUGGUGGGGUAAUGGCCUACCAAGGCGGCGACGGGUAGCCGGCCUGAGAGGGUGAACGGCCACAUUGGAACUGAGAAACGGUCCAA
Molecule: ribosomal RNA, 252 nt
Filed under: uncultured Actinomycetales bacterium
Lineage: Bacteria; Bacillati; Actinomycetota; Actinomycetes; Actinomycetales
Description: partial 16S ribosomal RNA
Rfam family: Bacterial small subunit ribosomal RNA
Source: RNAcentral